CGCCUCCAGAAUUUUUUAUUGGAGGUCCAUUCUGCCCUAUGCCCUACGGGGUAAAUGGCCGCGGUAGCCUGACCGUGCUAAGGUAGCAUAAUCAUUUGCCGUUUAAUUGGUGGCUGGAAUGAAUGAAUAUACGAGAGCUCUACUGUCUCAUCUCUACAAAUAAAAAUUGACCUUCAGGUGAAGAGACCUGAAUUCCUUAAAAAGACGAAAAGACCCUAUAGAGCUUUACCUAAAUUUUGUAUUCUUCAAGACAAAGGUUUAGUUGGGGCAACUAGAGAGAACCUAAAACCUCUCUUUCUAAAAAAUAAUAUUGAUCCGUUUUACGAUAAUCAGAAAAAGCUACCUUAGGGAUAACAGGCUAAUCCUCUUUAAGAGACCAUAUUGACAAGAGGGUUUGGCACCUCGAUGUUGGCUCAAGGUUACAGUCUGAUGCAGCAGUCAGACAAAGUAGGUUUGUUCACCCUUUAAAUCCUU
RNAcentral lists this ribosomal RNA (474 nucleotides) under Dipolydora bidentata. RNAcentral's name for it is "partial 16S ribosomal RNA". It matches the Rfam family "Bacterial large subunit ribosomal RNA", at positions 1828 to 2597 of the family's 2925-position model. Lineage: Eukaryota; Metazoa; Annelida; Polychaeta; Spionida; Spionidae. The record is from RNAcentral.